This 217-nucleotide ribosomal RNA is filed under the name uncultured bacterium. RNAcentral's name for it is "partial 16S ribosomal RNA". It matches the Rfam family "Bacterial small subunit ribosomal RNA", at positions 335 to 535 of the family's 1533-position model. The record is from RNAcentral.
ACUCCUACGGGAGGCAGCAGUGGGAAUAUUGCACAAUGGGAAGGCCAUCGAUGCAGCCAUGCCGCGCUGUGUGAAGAAGGCCAAUUCGGGGCUUUGGUUAAAGACACUUUUCAGUAGGGAGGAAGGUAGUGUAGUUAACACCUGCACUAUUUGACGUUACCUACAGAAGAAGCACCGGCUAACUCCGUGCCAGCAGCCGCGGUAAUACGGAGGGUGC